This 253-nucleotide ribosomal RNA is filed under the name uncultured bacterium. RNAcentral describes it as "partial 16S ribosomal RNA". It matches the Rfam family "Bacterial small subunit ribosomal RNA", at positions 524 to 776 of the family's 1533-position model. The record is from RNAcentral.
UACAGAGGUCUCAAGCGUUGUUCGGAUUCAUUGGGCGUAAAGGGUGUGUAGGUGGCGCGCUAAGUCGGGUGUGAAAUUUCGGAGCUUAACUCCGAAACUGCAUUCGAUACUGGCGUGCUUGAGGACUGGAGAGGAGACUGGAAUUCAUGGUGUAGCAGUGAAAUGCGUAGAUAUUGGGAGGAACACCAGUGGCGAAGGCGGCUCACUGGACCGGAACUGACGCUGAGGCGCGAAAGCGUGGGGAGCAAACGGG